Molecule: ribosomal RNA, 425 nt
Filed under: uncultured bacterium
Lineage: Bacteria
Description: partial 16S ribosomal RNA
Rfam family: Bacterial small subunit ribosomal RNA
Source: RNAcentral
UGGGGAAUAUUGGACAAUGGGCGAAAGCCUGAUCCAGCCAUGCCGCGUGUGUGAAGAAGGUCUUCGGAUUGUAAAGCACUUUAAGUUGGGAGGAAGGGCAGUAAAUUAAUACUUUGCUGUUUUGACGUUACCGACAGAAUAAGCACCGGCUAACUCUGUGCCAGCAGCCGCGGUAAUACAGAGGGUGCAAGCGUUAAUCGGAAUUACUGGGCGUAAAGCGCGCGUAGGUGGUUCGUUAAGUUGGAUGUGAAAUCCCCGGGCUCAACCUGGGAACUGCAUUCAAACUGACGAGCUAGAGUAUGGUAGAGGGUGGUGGAAUUUCCUGUGUAGCGGUGAAAUGCGUAGAUAUAGGAAGGAACACCAGUGGCGAAGGCGACCACCUGGACUGAUACUGACACUGAGGUGCGAAACGCGUGGGGAGCAAA